Molecule: ribosomal RNA, 429 nt
Filed under: Acidobacteriota bacterium
Lineage: Bacteria; Pseudomonadati; Acidobacteriota
Description: Acidobacteria bacterium partial 16S ribosomal RNA
Rfam family: Bacterial small subunit ribosomal RNA
Source: RNAcentral
UGGGGAAUUUUGGACAAUGGGGGAAACCCUGAUCCAGCCAUCCCGCGUGUGCGAUGAAGGCCUUCGGGUUGUAAAGCACUUUUGGCAGGAAAGAAACGUCAUGGGUUAAUACCCCGUGAAACUGACGGUACCUGCAGAGUAAGCACCGGCUAACUACGUGCCAGCAGCCGCGGUAAUACGUAGGGUGCAAGCGUUAAUCGGAAUUACUGGGCGUAAAGCGUGCGCAGGCGGUUCGGAAAGAAAGAUGUGAAAUCCCAGAGCUCAACUUUGGAACUGCAUUUUUAACUACCGGGCUAGAGUGUGUCAGAGGGAGGUGGAAUUCCGCGUGUAGCAGUGAAAUGCGUAGAUAUGCGGAGGAACACCGAUGGCGAAGGCAGCCUCCUGGGAUAACACUGACGCUCAUGCACGAAAGCGUGGGGAGCAAACAGG